GCAUAUCAAUAAGCGGAGGAAAAGAAACCAACAGGGAUUACCUCAGUAACGGCGAGUGAAGCGGUAACAGCUCAAAUUUGAAAUCUGGCUUCGGUCCGAGUUGUAAUUUGUAGAAGAUGCUUUGGGUGUGGCUCCGGUCUAAGUUCCUUGGAACAGGACGUCAUAGAGGGUGAGAAUCCCGUACGUGACUGGCCGCCUUCGCCCGUGUAAAGCUCUUUCGACGAGUCGAGUUGUUUGGGAAUGCAGCUCAAAAUGGGUGGUAUAUUUCAUCUAAAGCUAAAUAUUGGCCAGAGACCGAUAGCGCACAAGUAGAGUGAUCGAAAGAUGAAAAGCACUUUGGAAAGAGAGUUAAACAGUACGUGAAAUUGUUGAAAGGGAAGCGCUUGCAACCAGACUUGCAGGCUGUUGAUCAUCCGGGGUUCUCCCCGGUGCACUCGGCAGUUUUCAGGCCAGCAUCGGUUUGGGUGGUGGGAUAAAGGCCUUAGGAAUGUAGCUUCUCUCGGGGAGUGUUAUAGCCUAAGGUGCAAUGCCGCCUACCUGGACCGAGGACCGCGCUUCGGCUAGGAUGCUGGCGUAAUGGUUGUAAGCGACCCGUCUUGAAACACGGACCAAGGAGUCUAACAUCUAUGCGAGUGUUUGGGUGUCAAACCCAUGCGCGUAAUUAACGUGAACGGAGGUAAGAACCCUUAAGGGUGCAUUAUCGACCGAUCCUGAUGUCUUCGGAUGGAUUUGAGUAAGAGCAUAGCUGUUGGGACCCGAAAGAUGGUGAACUAUGCCUGAAUAGGGUGAAGCCAGAGGAAACUCUGGUGGAGGCUCGCAGCGGUUCUGACGUGCAAAUCGAUCGUCAAAUUUGGGUAUAGGGGGCGAAAGACUAAUCGAACCAUCUAGUAGCUGGUUCCUGCCGAAG
RNAcentral lists this ribosomal RNA (907 nucleotides) under Arachnopeziza aurata. RNAcentral's name for it is "LSU rRNA". It matches the Rfam family "Eukaryotic large subunit ribosomal RNA", at positions 38 to 966 of the family's 3401-position model. The record is from RNAcentral. Lineage: Eukaryota; Fungi; Ascomycota; Leotiomycetes; Helotiales; Arachnopezizaceae.